This 195-nucleotide microRNA precursor is filed under the name Oryza rufipogon (brownbeard rice). RNAcentral's name for it is "MIR812 microRNA precursor family". It matches the Rfam family "MIR812 microRNA precursor family". Lineage: Eukaryota; Viridiplantae; Streptophyta; Magnoliopsida; Poales; Poaceae. The record is from Rfam by way of RNAcentral.
AAAAAAAAAAACCCUGGGUUUCCGUGUCCAACGUUUGACUCUCCGUUUUAUAUGAUUUAUUUUUAUAAUUAGUAUUUUCAUUGUUGUUAGAUGAUAAAACAUGAUUAAUACUUUAUGUGUGACUUGUCUUUUUAAUUUUUUUUCACAUUUUUUCAAAUAAGAUGAACGGUCAAACGUUGGACACGGAAAUCCAUG